Molecule: non-coding RNA, 45 nt
Filed under: Schistosoma mattheei
Lineage: Eukaryota; Metazoa; Platyhelminthes; Trematoda; Strigeidida; Schistosomatidae
Source: RNAcentral
AUCCACCUGACGAGUCCUACAUAGAAUGGAACGCUCGUCCUGAAU